UCCUACGGGAGGCAGCAGUGGGGAAUAUUGCACAAUGGAGGAAACUCUGAUGCAGCGACGCCGCGUGAGUGAAGAAGUAUUUCGGUAUGUAGAGCUCUAUCAGCAGGAAAGAAAAUGACGGUACCUGACUAAGAAGCCCCGGCUAACUACGUGCCAGCAGCCGCGGUAAUACGUAGGGGGCAAGCGUUAUCCGGAUUUACUGGGUGUAAAGGGAGCGUAGACGGCGAAGCAAGUCUGAAGUGAAAGCUCGGGGCUCAACCCCGGAACUGCUUUGGAAACUGUUUUGCUGGAGUGCAGGAGAGGUAAGCGGAAUUCCUAGUGUAGCGGUGAAAUGCGUAGAUAUUAGGAGGAACACCAGAGGCGAAGGCGGCUUACUGGACUGUAACUGACGUUGAGGCUCGAAGGCGUGGGGAGCAAACAGGAUUAGAUACCCUGGUAGUCC
RNAcentral lists this ribosomal RNA (442 nucleotides) under uncultured bacterium. RNAcentral's name for it is "bacterial SSU rRNA". It matches the Rfam family "Bacterial small subunit ribosomal RNA", at positions 337 to 796 of the family's 1533-position model. The record is from RNAcentral.